RNAcentral lists this transfer RNA (66 nucleotides) under Idiosepius hallami. Its description in RNAcentral is "tRNA-Arg". Lineage: Eukaryota; Metazoa; Mollusca; Cephalopoda; Idiosepiidae. The record is from RNAcentral.
AUAUAAGAAAUGAUAAAUCAUAUAUGAUUUCGGCUCAUACUUAGAUGUUAAAUACAUCCUUAUAAG